Molecule: small RNA, 124 nt
Filed under: Marmota monax (woodchuck)
Lineage: Eukaryota; Metazoa; Chordata; Mammalia; Rodentia; Sciuridae
Source: RNAcentral
GCUGGGCAUGUUGGCGCAUGCCUGUAAUCUCAGUGACUUGGAGGCUGAGGCAGGAGGAUCUCAAGUUCAAGGCCGGCCUCAGCAAUUUAGCAGGGCCUAACCCAUUAGAGAGAUCCUGUCUCAA